This 1422-nucleotide ribosomal RNA is filed under the name Karenia papilionacea. RNAcentral describes it as "eukaryotic LSU rRNA". The stretch from base 637 to 1422 matches the Rfam family "Eukaryotic large subunit ribosomal RNA", at positions 1 to 671 of the family's 3401-position model. The record is from RNAcentral. Lineage: Eukaryota; Dinophyceae; Gymnodiniales; Kareniaceae.
GUAACAAGGUUUCCGUAGGUGAACCUGCGGAAGGAUCAUUCACACGCAUCCAUUUUGAUUCAUUGUGAACCACCCAAUGUGAGUUGCGCCCUUAGAUGGAGACAACUUGUCUACAACUUUGGGUGGAAUCUCGCGGGUAGUCUGAACGAUAUUGGACCGUCUUCCUUUAUUGUCUGGCUACCGUGUUUGUUUGAGCGAUGUUUUGUUUUGUGAUCAAUCUUUCAUCCCUGGUGGGUGACCACCUAUGAUUGCUUCAUACAACUUUCAGCGACGGAUGUCUCGGCUCGAACAACGAUGAAGGGCGCAGCGAAGUGUGAUAAGCAUUGUGAAUUGCAGAAUUCCGUGAACCAAUAGGGAUUUGAACGUAUACUGCGCUUUCGGGAUAUCCCUGAAAGCAUGCCUGCUUCAGUGUCUAUAUUCUUUCAUGCCACUGUCAUCUUGAUAUGUGCUUUGCACAUGUCUUCGACUGUAGUGCGUGUCUGUGUAUCAAGGUGCUCUGUGCCCUUGAUGCAUCUAGUGCUUGGGCUUUGUGCUCCAUAAACAACUUGAUAAACACCUGUUGUGUGUCACUGUUGUUCUGUUUGGAGUAUUGAUAGCCUUGCCUCUGGCAUCCUUGCCUUGCAUGGAUUCUUUUUAUGACAUGAAGUUAGGUGAGCAAACCCGCUGAAUUUAAGCAUAUAAGUAAGCGGAGGAUAAGAAACUAAAUAGGAUUCCCUUAGUAAUGGCGAAUGAACAGGGAUAAGCUCAGCAUGGAAAUUGGGGCCUCUGGCCUUGAAUUGUAGUCUUGAGAUGUGCUGCCAACGGAGGCGCAGAUGUAAGCCUCUUGGAAAAGAGCAUCAGGGAGGGUGAGAGUCCCGUAUGUCAUCUGCAGAUCUCUGUGCACGGUGCGCUUUCUAAGAGUCACGUUCCUCGGGAUUGGAGCGCAAAUUGGGUGGUAAAUUUCAUCUAAAGCUAAAUAUUGGUUCGAGACCGAUAGCAAACAAGUACCAUGAGGGAAAGGUGAAAAGGACUUUGAAAAGAGAGUUAAAAGUGCCUGAAAUUGCUGAAAGGGAAGCGAAUGGAACCAGUUGUUCUUGGCUAGAUUGGUGUUGUCUAAUGUGAUGGCUUGCCACUUCAACGCAAGUGUGGUGGCAGGUUUUGAUCUGGAUGCGAUACUGGUUGCUUGCCUUGCGUGUCAACGUCAGUUCAUAAUUGAGGAAAACUCUAGGGACAUGGUAAUUUGCUUCCGGGUGACUGAAUGUGCCUAGUUGAACUCAUUUUUUGAACUGCUUUCUGUGUGUCUGGUAGCAGUGCUCUGUGUGCUUGUCAGCAAUCUCUUGUUAGUUACCUGGCAUGAGACUUGCUGGCGCCUGGAACACAUCCUUGACAUAAGUACGAUGACGAAAUGGUUUUAUUCGACCCGUCUUGAAACACGGACCAAGG